Molecule: ribosomal RNA, 370 nt
Filed under: Bacillus thuringiensis serovar azorensis
Lineage: Bacteria; Bacillati; Bacillota; Bacilli; Caryophanales; Bacillaceae
Description: bacterial SSU rRNA
Rfam family: Bacterial small subunit ribosomal RNA
Source: RNAcentral
CGGAUUAUUGGGCGUAAGCGCGCGCAGGUGGUUUCUUAAGUCUGAUGUGAAAGCCCACGGCUCAACCGUGGAGGGUCAUUGGAAACUGGGAGACUUGAGUGCAGAAGAGGAAAGUGGAAUUCCAUGUGUAGCGGUGAAAUGCGUAGAGAUAUGGAGGAACACCAGUGGCGAAGGCGACUUUCUGGUCUGUAACUGACACUGAGGCGCGAAAGCGUGGGGAGCAAACAGGAUUAGAUACCCUGGUAGUCCACGCCGUAAACGAUGAGUGCUAAGUGUUAGAGGGUUUCCGCCCUUUACUGCUGAAGUUAACGCAUUAAGCACUCCGCCUGGGGAGUACGGCCGCAAGGCUGAUACUCAUAGGAAUUGACGG